RNAcentral lists this ribosomal RNA (119 nucleotides) under Olea europaea subsp. europaea. The record is from RNAcentral. Lineage: Eukaryota; Viridiplantae; Streptophyta; Magnoliopsida; Lamiales; Oleaceae.
UGGUGCGACCAUACCAGCUCUAACGCACCGGAUCCCAUCAGAACUCCGAAGUUAAGCGUUCUUGGGUGAGAGUAGUACUAGGAUGUGUGACCCCCAGGGAAGUCCUCGUGUUGCACCCC